RNAcentral lists this ribosomal RNA (468 nucleotides) under uncultured bacterium. Its description in RNAcentral is "partial 16S ribosomal RNA". It matches the Rfam family "Bacterial small subunit ribosomal RNA", at positions 28 to 507 of the family's 1533-position model. The record is from RNAcentral.
GACGAACGCUGGCGGCGUGCUUAACACAUGCAAGUCGAACGGAAAGGCCCUGCUUUUGUGGGGUGCUCGAGUGGCGAACGGGUGAGUAACACGUGAGUAACCUGCCCUUGACUUUGGGAUAACUUCAGGAAACUGGGGCUAAUACCGGAUAGGAGCUCCUGCUGCAUGGUGGGGGUUGGAAAGUUUCGGCGGUAGGGGAUGGACUCGCGGCUUAUCAGCUUGUUGGUGGGGUAGUGGCUUACCAAGGCUUUGACGGGUAGCCGGCCUGGGAGGGUGACCGGCCACAUUGGGACUGAGAGACGGCCCAGACUCCUACGGGAGGCAGCAGUGGGGAAUAUUGCGCAAUGGGCGGAAGCCUGAUGCAGCAACGCCGCGUGCGGGAUGCCGGCCUUCGGGUUGUGAACCGCUUUCGCAUGUGACGAAGCGUGAGUGACGGUAAUGGGUAAAGAAGCACCGGCUAACUACGUG